Molecule: ribosomal RNA, 654 nt
Filed under: uncultured archaeon
Lineage: Archaea
Description: bacterial SSU rRNA
Rfam family: Archaeal small subunit ribosomal RNA
Source: RNAcentral
GCCUAAAGCGUCCGUAGCCUGCUUUGUAAGUUUUCGGUUAAAUCCAUACGCUCAACGUAUGGGCUGCCGGAAAUACUGCAAAGCUAGGGAGUGGGAGAGGUAGACGGUACUCGGGAGGAAGGGGUAAAAUCCUUUGAUCUCUCGAUGACCACCUGUGGCGAAGGCGGUCUACCAGAACACGUCCGACGGUGAGGGAUGAAAGCUGGGGGAGCAAACCGGAUUAGAUACCCGGGUAGUCCCAGCUGUAAACUAUGCAAACUCAGUGAUGCAUUGGCUUGAUGCCAAUGCAGUGUUGCAGGGAAGCCGUUAAGUUUGCCGCCUGGGAAGUACGUACGCAAGUAUGAAACUUAAAGGAAUUGGCGGGGGAGCACCACAAGGGGUGAAGCCUGCGGUUCAAUUGGAGUCAACGCCAGAAAUCUUACCCGGAGAGACAGCAGAAUGAAGGUCAAGCUGAAGACUUUACCAGACAAGCUGAGAGGUGGUGCAUGGCCGUCGCCAGCUCGUGCCGUGAGAUGUCCUGUUAAGUCAGGUAACGAGCGAGAUCCCUGCCUCUAGUUGCCACCAUUACUCUCAGGAGUAGUGGGGCGAAUUAGCGGGACCGCCGCAGUUAAUGCGGAGGAAGGAAGGGGCCACGGCAGGUCAGUAUGCCCCGAA